UUCUUCUUUUAGGAUAUAUUUUCAUUUUGCGGCUUUUAUUCCCUGGAGAAAGUAGCUGCUCAUGCAUCAUCAUUGCUUGGAAGAAUAGGGAAACAUUUAUUCUUGAGAGAUGGUGAUAAUGAAAAACCUCCUAUUUUACUUCAGAUGGCCAACGAUACUGAUGAUCUUCCAUUUAUAUCUACUCUACGGUCCUUUAGGCAUCGGGUUGCCUACGCUAAUGCACGAUAUGAUCGUAUCCUGCCAUACUAUAUACAUUUGUUUAUUAUUUUUUACUUGUUUAUGUAGGAAAAUAUUUGGAGAUAAAAUGUCAGGACAUUUAAACAUAUGCUCAAGCAAUACAUGAAAAACUAGUUAGGCUGUUCCAAUUUUCUUCUUUUUGAAAUCCUCUAAUUUAUGUGAAGAACUUAACACUUCCUCUUAGAUCUUGCUGGAUGGAGUACAUCAUCACUGCGGCGUCGAAGUGAGCUCCCAAAGCGUCAAAAUCUGUCAAGAAUUGACAAAUACCCGCAUGUCAUAAAUGUGGAGUUAGCAAAACCUGUGAAUACUCAAGAAGAAAUGUCUUUAGAGGGCCAAGUCAAUGUAUGCAAGACCAUUGAUAUGGAAGGUUAGUUACCAAAUUUUUGUCAAUGUUAUUCAUGUUCUACAGCACUAAUCUUACAAGAUUCAAGAACCAUUACUUCCCAUUAAAAAACCAAGUUAAAAAUUAAAAUAAAAAAGGUUUUUCCUUCAUUUUAAAUGUAGAUUUCACUUGUAUAUUUAGUU
Non-coding RNA from Camellia sinensis, 762 nucleotides. NCBI's taxonomy places the organism in Eukaryota, Viridiplantae, Streptophyta, Magnoliopsida, Ericales, Theaceae. The record is from RefSeq and is a predicted model, not a curated record.